RNAcentral lists this ribosomal RNA (292 nucleotides) under uncultured bacterium. RNAcentral's name for it is "partial 16S ribosomal RNA". It matches the Rfam family "Bacterial small subunit ribosomal RNA", at positions 505 to 796 of the family's 1533-position model. The record is from RNAcentral.
GUGCCAGCAGCCGCGGUAAUACGAACUGUGCGAACGUUAUUCGGAAUCACUGGGCUUACAGGGUGCGUAGGCGGCUUGUUAAGUAGGGUGUGAAAGCCCCCGGCUCAACCGGGGAAUUGCGCCCUAAACUGGCGAGCUGGAGUGAGAUAGGGGUGUGUGGAACUUCCGGUGGAGCGGUGAAAUGUGUUGAUAUCGGAAGGAACGCCGGUGGCGAAAGCGACACACUGGAUCUUGUCUGACGCUGAGGCACGAAAGCCAGGGGAGCGAACGGGAUUAGAUACCCCGGUAGUCC